GGGUGGGAUCAUACCAGCACUACAACACCGAAUUCC
RNAcentral lists this ribosomal RNA (36 nucleotides) under Prospero obtusifolium. Lineage: Eukaryota; Viridiplantae; Streptophyta; Magnoliopsida; Asparagales; Asparagaceae. The record is from RNAcentral.